RNAcentral lists this small RNA (123 nucleotides) under Marmota monax (woodchuck). The record is from RNAcentral. Lineage: Eukaryota; Metazoa; Chordata; Mammalia; Rodentia; Sciuridae.
GCUGGGAAUGGUGUUGCAUGCCUGUAAUCCUAGCAGCUCGGGAGGCUGAGACAGGAAGAUCACCGAGUUCAAAGCCAACCUCAAAAGUGAGGUGCUAAACAACUCAGUGAGACCCUGUCUCUA